Molecule: non-coding RNA, 70 nt
Organism: Paenibacillus polymyxa ATCC 842
Lineage: Bacteria; Bacillati; Bacillota; Bacilli; Caryophanales; Paenibacillaceae
Source: Rfam
ACUCGUCUGAGCGAGUAUAAACAGGUCAUUAAGCUCAGAGCGUUCACCGGGAUCAUUCGGUGAGGUUGGC